This is a long non-coding RNA of Rosa rugosa (rugosa rose), 890 nucleotides long. RefSeq lists it as uncharacterized. The record is from RefSeq and is a predicted model, not a curated record. NCBI's taxonomy places the organism in Eukaryota, Viridiplantae, Streptophyta, Magnoliopsida, Rosales, Rosaceae. The transcript is spliced from 2 exons.
CAUUCUCUCCCUCUCUCCUCUCGACCGCACCUCUCUCUCUCCACGACCUCUCGCUCUCUCUCUCUCUCCUUCCCUCUGCAACCACCGGAAAAUCCCAUUUCCGGCUACCGCUUCACGACACCGCCCCCGCCAACUCAACCAGAACCCAAUUCCAACCCAAACCCGACCAAAAUCACGGCCAUGCACCACCGUCGUCCUUCGCACGCGACAACCCAAGACUGCGCACCACUGUUCCUCGACCCUCACCGAUUUCCGACGAUUUUCUCACCCUUCCGCCACCAUCAAUCUACUCAGCAAGUAGAGGGGAACAAAACCCAAAAAACCUCUUCGCCCGCCGACGCCGGACAAUGCUGUGUGAGCUACCCGGCGCCGCAGUUAGCGCCACCAGGUCAUUUCCUUUCGUCUGGUAAGAUGGAUUUUCGUCAAGUUCAUCUUGGUUAAGGCUUCUGUCUUGAAUUGGAUUAAAGAUCAUAAUUCUGUCGUAUAUUUGGAUUAUGUGAGGAUUUGGUGGAUUUCUGCAUUCUGGAAAGUUUUGGAGAAGAGAGAAACUGUUGGGUCAAUUCGAUUGAUGUCAAGAAAAGGAGGUCCGAAUGGGUUGAUAGUGGUGGACUGCAACAACUAGAAUUAGCCUCUGGUUGGGGAAAAGAAGAAUGGUAAGGGACUGUGUAUUUUGGAAUCUGUUUGGCCGUGUACUGUUUGUACUGAUCAAAGUUAUGGUUUUAUUGAGUAUGUGUGAUAUAAAUUUGGUUGUGGUAUUCGAGUGAUCGGUUAUGUUGGAAAUGUCAUUGUUAUAAGGUGAAUGACUAAAUCAGUGAGCUCUUUAAAGAAGUUGUAAAUUGCAAGUUAAAUUGUUGUUGUGAAAGAAAAUGUUGAGCAUGAGUAACUAUCAA